RNAcentral lists this ribosomal RNA (505 nucleotides) under uncultured bacterium. Its description in RNAcentral is "partial 16S ribosomal RNA". It matches the Rfam family "Bacterial small subunit ribosomal RNA", at positions 28 to 507 of the family's 1533-position model. The record is from RNAcentral.
GACGAACGCUGGCGGCGUGCCUAAUACAUGCAAGUAGAACGCACAGUUUAUACCGUAGCUUGCUCCACCAUAGACUGUGAGUUGCGAACGGGUGAGUAACGCGUAGGUAACCUGCCUGGUAGCGGGGGAUAACUAUUGGAAACGAUAGCUAAUACCGCAUAAUAUUGAUUAUUGCAUGAUAAUUAAUUGAAAGGUGCAAUUGCACCACUACCAGAUGGACCUGCGUUGUAUUAGCUAGUAGGUGAGGUAACGGCUCACCUAGGCGACGAUACAUAGCCGACCGGAGAGGGUGAUCGGCCACACUGGGACUGAGACACGGCCCAGACUCCUACGGGAGGCAGCAGUAGGGAAUCUUCGGCAAUGGACGAAAGUCUGACCGAGCAACGCCGCGUGAGUGAAGAAGGUUUUCGGAUCGUAAAGCUCUGUUGUAAGAGAAGAACGGGUGUGAGAGUGGAAAGUUCACACUGUGACGGUAUCUUACCAGAAAGGGACGGCUAACUACGUG